Molecule: non-coding RNA, 645 nt
Organism: Drosophila melanogaster (fruit fly)
Lineage: Eukaryota; Metazoa; Arthropoda; Insecta; Diptera; Drosophilidae
Source: Ensembl
AUCAACGAAAGUCGCGACGACAACUCGCCUUUCACUUUUACGUCAUAAAAGUCAAGAGCUUCCACCUUAAAAUCGCGCCGCUCUCUAGACACGCCCCCGCCCAUCGGCACGCCCCAAAAUCGCGAAACAAUAUCCCGCCAUAUAGUCGUAUUCGAUGGGAAUGAGAACCGAAUUAAUACACAGAGAAAAAAUAAAGUGAAUCUAUUUGUUUUUAUUCAUUCAAAUAUAAUUAUCAGAUAUAAUUCGCUCGAACUACAUUUUAAUUGAAUUUGUCAAUAUGUUUUUUUCUUGAUUUAUUGCACACAGCAGAGCCGAACCCAACUUUCGCACAAUAAACGAACGCACUUGACUGAAAAUGUAAGCGAUAAUCCCCUGGAGCCACGACAUUUCAGGGAGGUGGAAAACGCGAGUAAUUGAACUCGGCAGAGUCCUGGAGCUGGGAUAAGUGGGUUGCAGAUGAGAAGAGAGGAAUGUGGAGCUCGGAAUGCAUAUUUAUGCGAAAGUUGCGCCUUUUUUUCCAGCUAGCUCCAUUCAAACAGUCGAAAGUACAGUGGGCCCAAGCCAAGGAAACCCGAAAUACAAAAGCUUUCAGAAUCAAAGAUAUACAACAUAUGUUGGAAAUGUGAUUAUAUAAUUACUCUUUGG